AUAUAAAUAGUAUAAUCUUAUUACAUAAGUUUUUCAUACUUAAAAUACAGUCUUGAUUGUUUUAUAUA
Molecule: transfer RNA, 68 nt
Filed under: Lamellibrachia barhami
Lineage: Eukaryota; Metazoa; Annelida; Polychaeta; Sabellida; Siboglinidae
Description: tRNA-Glu
Source: RNAcentral